RNAcentral lists this long non-coding RNA (1105 nucleotides) under Anas platyrhynchos platyrhynchos (common mallard). RNAcentral's name for it is "lncRNA (ENSAPLG00000025848.1)". The record is from RNAcentral. Lineage: Eukaryota; Metazoa; Chordata; Aves; Anseriformes; Anatidae.
CCUCGGAUUUUAAUUCCAGUUGAAAUGAAAACGAGAUGAGUUUGUUGCAUCAUUUGAUACACUUCUGGAAGACAGCAGAUACUUGUAAUGUAGAAGGUGUUAUCAAAAAUGGGGAGAAAAUACAAUAGUGAUGGAGGUUUCCAGAGAUGCUAGGGCUGGGCCUGUGCUUCUAAAGUCUGUAACAGUAAGGCAGAACAGUUAUGUUCCUCUGGAAAAGGCUUUGCUAUGGAAAGUAGCAGUUUGGGCCAACUAAACAUUGCUUUUGGAGGACCAAACAGGCCUGAAAUGCACCUCUCGAGGCCAAAGAAUGGAAAAAUUGAUGGAGUGCAUUAAGCUGUUUCCAGGAUGUCAGAGGGGUCUUUGAUAGAGCUGAUCAUCCUAGCUCUGCAGUGACAACACAGAUGACAGAUGAUACUCAGAGGAGCCCCUUAUUCAUCUCCAGCUGCAGCAACUCCACCGCAGUCACGCUGUGUGUGUGGCUGCAGCUGCACGCCCAGCACAGCCCCAGGAAUGCUACCUCCGGAGACAAAUCAUCUCCUUUUCCUGGGUGGUGGAAGGAUGCUUUGGUGCAGAGAAGUGUGUUGCUGACCAGACCUCCUCCAGAAUCUGACCGGCAUCCCAGAGGAAUUUUCUGUGGCACAGUGGAAGUCUCAGUGAGAAUCACCGUGUGAAGGUCAAAAGGAACAUUAGAGAAAUUUGGAGGCACAUUAGGGUCUGAGAGGAAAAAAAAAGAACUGUGAGUAAAUUGAAAAAGAACAUUGGAGAACUAUAUUGGGUCUUGUAGUGAAGGACACAGAUUCCUAGUUAGUGGCUUCUGUGAUCAUGUCACUGUUAAAUGAACAGCUGGACCAGCUGCUAUACAGUAAAAAAAAAGUCCAAUUUGCAGUUAUGGUACUAUAAAAACCUUGUAAUCCCUCACUUCCAAUUGCCACAUGAACAUGUCUUUUUGGUAUGAAUAACUGGGUUUACUGCUACAUAAGAAAUAAGAAAUGCAUGUAUUUCAUUUUAUUCAACACGGUUGACCCUGGAGAUGUUCACAAAAUGUGUCAAGCUAUGCAAAUCAAGUCAAAAUAAAUAUAGUAGAAUCAGAUGUUUAGAAUUUGUU